This is a long non-coding RNA of Coregonus clupeaformis (lake whitefish), 526 nucleotides long. RefSeq lists it as uncharacterized. The transcript is spliced from 3 exons. The record is from RefSeq and is a predicted model, not a curated record. Lineage: Eukaryota; Metazoa; Chordata; Actinopteri; Salmoniformes; Salmonidae.
UGAACUUGUUAUCAGUAUAAAAGACACCUGUCCACAACCUCAAACAGUCACACUCCAAACUCCUGGAUAAAACACUGACAAUGAUGUUGUGAAAAGCCACUCCAGAAAGGGAUAACAAAGCCUGAUAACUCUGCUGUUGUUGUGGGUUCCUCACAGCCCUGGGGACAUGUAGAUGGGGACCCCCAGUGGGCAUGGAGGCGACAGCCCUGUUCUAAUACCUGCAUCCUUCCUCCCUUCCAUGAAUUGCCCUAGACACUGAUCUGACACAAGCUCGGUGGGAAUAGUCAGUAUGGUGUUUAUAGCGGAGAGCCACAGGGUCAUUUGAACUGGUUGUAACUGGUUUGAGCCUGAGAAGAACACUGAAGACUAGAAUACAGACUUGUGCUCCAUUCCUCAGCUUCUGUCUCUGACCUCCUGUCUGUGUAGUCACUCACUCUGUGAUUGACAUCAGAACAAGAGAGUAGGAGCUGAUCUCUCUUCCUGAGUGUCAGAAAGUAAAUAAAAUGGCAUACCUCAACCUAUUGAA